Molecule: transfer RNA, 72 nt
Filed under: Candidatus Aenigmatarchaeota archaeon
Lineage: Archaea; Nanobdellati; Candidatus Aenigmatarchaeota
Description: tRNA-Tyr
Rfam family: tRNA
About the family: Transfer RNA (tRNA) molecules are approximately 80 nucleotides in length. Their secondary structure includes four short double-helical elements and three loops (D, anti-codon, and T loops).
Source: RNAcentral
CCGGAGGUAGCUCAAUGGCAGAGCAAUCGGCUGUAGACCGAUAGGUUGAGAGUUCGACUCUCUCCCUCCGGA